Molecule: ribosomal RNA, 848 nt
Filed under: uncultured soil bacterium
Lineage: Bacteria
Description: bacterial SSU rRNA
Rfam family: Bacterial small subunit ribosomal RNA
Source: RNAcentral
UGCAGUCGACGGCAGCAUAGGAGCUUGCUCCUGAUGGCGAGUGGCGAACGGGUGAGUAAUAUAUCGGAACGUACCCUAGAGUGGGGGAUAACGCAGCGAAAGUUGCGCUAAUACCGCAUACGAUCUACGGAUGAAAGUGGGGGAUCGCAAGACCUCAUGCUCAUGGAGCGGCCGAUAUCUGAUUAGCUAGUUGGUGGGGUAAAAGCCUACCAAGGCAUCGAUCAGUAGCUGGUCUGAGAGGACGACCAGCCACACUGGAACUGAGACACGGUCCAGACUCCUACGGGAGGCAGCAGUGGGGAAUUUUGGACAAUGGGGGCAACCCUGAUCCAGCAAUGCCGCGUGAGUGAAGAAGGCCUUCGGGUUGUAAAGCUCUUUUGUCAGGGAAGAAACGGUGAGCUCUAAUACAGUUUGCUAAUGACGGUACCUGAAGAAUAAGCACCGGCUAACUACGUGCCAGCAGCCGCGGUAAUACGUAGGGUGCAAGCGUUAAUCGGAAUUACUGGGCGUAAAGCGUGCGCAGGCGGUUAUGUAAGUCAGAUGUGAAAUCCCCGGGCUCAACCUGGGAAUGGCAUUUGAGACUGCAUGGCUAGAGUGUGUCAGAGGGGGGUAGAAUUCCACGUGUAGCAGUGAAAUGCGUAGAGAUGUGGAGGAAUACCGAUGGCGAAGGCAGCCCCCUGGGAUAACACUGACGCUCAUGCACGAAAGCGUGGGGAGCAAACAGGAUUAGAUACCCUGGUAGUCCACGCCCUAAACGAUGUCUACUAGUUGUCGGGACUUAAUUGUCUUGGUAACGCAGCUAACGCGUGAAGUAGACCGCCUGGGGAGUACGGUCGCAAGAUUAAAAC